CUACGGGGGGCUGCAGUGGGGAAUAUUGCACAAUGGGGGGAACCCUGAUGCAGCAACGCCGCGUGGAGGAUGACGCAUUUCGGUGUGUAAACACCUUUUAUAUGUCAAGAAAAUGACGGUAGCAUAUGAAUAAGCACCGGCUAACUCCGUGCCAGCAGCCGCGGUAAUACGGAGGGUGCAAGCGUUACUCGGAAUCACUGGGCGUAAAGGACGCGUAGGCGGGUUGGAAAGUCAGGUGUGAAAUCCUACAGCUUAACUGUAGAACUGCACUUGAAACUUCUAAUCUAGAGUAUGGGAGGGGGAGAUGGAAUUAGUGGUGUAGGGGUAAAAUCCGUAGAUAUCACUAGGAAUACCUAAAGCGAAGGCGAUCUCCUGGAACAUUACUGACGCUAAGGCGUGAAAGCGUGGGGAGCAAACAGGAUUAGAUACCCGAGUAGUC
This 439-nucleotide ribosomal RNA is filed under the name uncultured bacterium. Its description in RNAcentral is "partial 16S ribosomal RNA". It matches the Rfam family "Bacterial small subunit ribosomal RNA", at positions 339 to 795 of the family's 1533-position model. The record is from RNAcentral.